UUGGGCCCAAGCCCAAAGCCCACCAACAUAACCCUAGUAUAAAUUAGAAGUGAACCCUAGUUCCACUUCAUACUCAUCAGCCGCUAUAUGUUGCCUUUCCCUCAUUCUCUCAAAACCCUAUCUCCAUCUUCUUAAGACAAACAAAAUUUGCAUCAUUUCUGCUUCCUCCCUCUCGACUUAUACAUCAGCCACACACAAAGCCCUAACCCCAUCUCAAAUUCUUCCUCAAAGAUGCAUCAGACUCAAACAAUCACCCUCUCAUCUCUCUCACCCGUCCAGUAAACACGAAACGGCGCUGGUUAUCGGUCGAAUCUCCGGUCGAUCGACUUCACCGGCAGGACACCCCCACACGCACCCCCUGUUAAUUAAGUCUGGCAGCAAUCGCAGCGCCGCCGUUGCGGCGGCGGUGGUGGAGGUGGCGUCUUGAUUCUGCUCCGACAAACCUACGACAAUGACUCCGAGAACAAAGGGAGAAGGAGAUCGAGAGAGAGAGAGAGAGAACUGAGAAGACGAGAAAAGUGAAUGAGUGAAACGAGAGAAAUGGUAACGGCAACUUACCGGCAACGGGCUGUCUCUCGGACGGCGGCAAAGAGCGACGACGGCCGUGGUGGUGUUCAUCAGGUGAGAUUUUAUUCGGAUUCAGGGCAGCCACGGUUCGAUUAUGGUUCAGUUCUGCUGAGGUGUUUCGGCUCGUAUGCGGAUUGAUUGGUUGUUUCGGGUCAAGUAUGGUUCGGGUUCAGAUUCACUCUUGGUUGGUUUGAGAUACAAGAAGAUGAGAGUGGUAACUCAGUUCAGUUUUGGUUUGUUUCGGGUCAACAAGCCAACAACAGCCCACGGACCCGGUUCGGGUCAACAGUAAAAGCACGGUCGGUUUGGGUCACACGGUUCACACAUCGGUUCAGUUUCACAGCACCGGUCGAUAGUAAUGGUGGUGUUUCACGUUUCGCCUCGGGUACCGGGAUGACUCAGUCAACACCCGGUCAACUCAGUUCAACAACAGUCAACGGCCGGUCAACACGAAGGACCCGGAAUGUCGUAGUUGCACGCUAGCUACUUCACGUUUUUGGAACGACACUUCGGAAACACACUAAGCUAGCUUUGCACAGGGAUAUCCAGGUUACAUUGUCAAAACUACGGAACGGUUGGAAUAGAAGAACCCACGGGAUUUCGAGUAAUUAGCGGGCGUUCAUUUUUUAGAAGUCUUAGCUUUUUGCUUCCGCUGUGCAAUGAAGAUAC
RNAcentral lists this long non-coding RNA (1236 nucleotides) under Helianthus annuus (common sunflower). Its description in RNAcentral is "hypothetical non coding rna". The record is from RNAcentral. Lineage: Eukaryota; Viridiplantae; Streptophyta; Magnoliopsida; Asterales; Asteraceae.